GGUGGAUUAACCGACUGAGCGCUCAGCCAAUAGGGGCGCCCUUCUUUGAGCGGAGGCGGGGCCCGACGUUUGCGUCAAUGCGUCACUCGACCGCGUGCAGGCGGCGGGGGACGUAAAGGACUCCAGGGGCCAGUGCUGAACUUCCGGGUUUCUCUCGACUCAUCGGUUUUGUCCCUGCUUCACUGGACAUAAUGCGUGGCGUGACCUUCUGCAGCUGUGAGAUGACAACGGUGACGACCAUCCUGGAAAGGCACUGAAGGUUGCCGUCGAUAUUUCUGACUUGCACCGGCACCUUUCCAGUCUCAAAGUGGAUUGAUGGCACAAGACGUUGAGCUGCCAUCUUGCUUAACGCCCCCACUGGACUGACGCCACCUUUACAAGCCACCUGAAAUGACUCCCCGGCCUUGAAUUGAAGCCUUCGUUCAAGGCCCAGGGCGCCCACGGAGACUCAAUAGCCCCUGCAAAAGCAGCCCCCGGCCUUGAAACAUGAUGGGGCCGAUUUAAGCACAUCUGGCCAUGCUCUUCAGAAAGAAAAGGCCUUUAGCAAAGCCAAAAAGAAAGAAAGAAAGAAAGAAAGAAAGAAAGAAAGAAAGAAAGAAAGAAAGAAAGCAGAAACAAUAGAUGCUAUACAUUUAAGAGGCAUGAAAAUAACACACCAGAGAACUUGUGUUUUGGGGCAGAAUAAAAAUAUGUUAAAUAAAAUAAAAAUAAAUAAAUACACUCCAAAAGCAGAGAGGCAGCUCUGAACAUAAUUCUGCCUUAUAGCAUUG
Molecule: long non-coding RNA, 770 nt
Organism: Hemicordylus capensis (graceful crag lizard)
Lineage: Eukaryota; Metazoa; Chordata; Lepidosauria; Squamata; Cordylidae
Exons: 3
Source: RefSeq, a predicted model, not a curated record